Molecule: ribosomal RNA, 963 nt
Filed under: Salmonella enterica
Lineage: Bacteria; Pseudomonadati; Pseudomonadota; Gammaproteobacteria; Enterobacterales; Enterobacteriaceae
Description: bacterial LSU rRNA
Rfam family: Bacterial large subunit ribosomal RNA
Source: RNAcentral
AGACCCGAAACCCGGUGAUCUAGCCAUGGGCAGGUUGAAGGUUGGGUAACACUAACUGGAGGACCGAACCGACUAAUGUUGAAAAAUUAGCGGAUGACCUGUGGCUGGGGGUGAAAGGCCAAUCAAACCGGGAGAUAGCUGGUUCUCCCCGAAAGCUAUUUAGGUAGCGCCUCGUGAAUUCAUCUCCGGGGGUAGAGCACUGUUUCGGCUAGGGGGCCAUCCCGGCUUACCAACCCGAUGCAAACUGCGAAUACCGGAGAAUGUUAUCACGGGAGACACACGGCGGGUGCUAACGUCCGUCGUGAAGAGGGAAACAACCCAGACCGCCAGCUAAGGUCCCAAAGUCAUGGUUAAGUGGGAAACGAUGUGGGAAGGCCCAGACAGCCAGGAUGUUGGCUUAGAAGCAGCCAUCAUUUAAAGAAAGCGUAAUAGCUCACUGGUCGAGUCGGCCUGCGCGGAAGAUGUAACGGGGCUAAACCAUGCACCGAAGCUGCGGCAGCGAACGUAUCACUUAAAGCGAUUCAGCGGGUUACGAUUGACGGAGCGAAGCGACGUCAAAGCGUAUACAAAGUCGAGUCGGUUUAAGGAUACGUUCGUUGGGUAGGGGAGCGUUCUGUAAGCCUGUGAAGGUGUGUCGUGAGGCAUGCUGGAGGUAUCAGAAGUGCGAAUGCUGACAUAAGUAACGAUAAAGCGGGUGAAAAGCCCGCUCGCCGGAAGACCAAGGGUUCCUGUCCAACGUUAAUCGGGGCAGGGUGAGUCGACCCCUAAGGCGAGGCCGAAAGGCGUAGUCGAUGGGAAACGGGUUAAUAUUCCCGUACUUGGUGUUACUGCGAAGGGGGGACGGAGAAGGCUAUGUUGGCCGGGCGACGGUUGUCCCGGUUUAAGCGUGUAGGCUGGUUUUCCAGGCAAAUCCGGAAAAUCAAGGCUGAGGCGUGAUGACGAGGCACUACGGUGCUGAAGCAA